RNAcentral lists this ribosomal RNA (675 nucleotides) under uncultured bacterium. RNAcentral describes it as "bacterial SSU rRNA". It matches the Rfam family "Bacterial small subunit ribosomal RNA", at positions 578 to 1252 of the family's 1533-position model. The record is from RNAcentral.
GGCUUUCAAGUCAGGUGUGAAAUCCUACAGCUUAACUGUAGAACUGCACUUGAAACUGGGAGCCUAGAGUAUGGGAGGGGCAGAUGGAAUUAGUGGUGUAGGGGUAAAAUCCGUAGAUAUCACUAGGAAUACCGAAAGCGAAGGCGAUCUGCUGGAACAUAACUGACGCUAAGGCGUGAAAGCGUGGGGAGCAAACAGGAUUAGAUACCCUGGUAGUCCACGCCCUAAACGAUGAACACUAGUCGUCGGAGUACUAGUUACUUCGGUGAUGCACUUAACAGAUUAAGUGUUCCGCCUGGGGAGUACGGUCGCAAGAUUAAAACUCAAAGGAAUAGACGGGGACCCGCACAAGUGGUGGAGCAUGUGGUUUAAUUCGAAGAUACGCGAAGAACCUUACCUGGCCUUGACAUUGAGAGAAUCCGCUAGAGAUAGCGGAGUGCCCUUCGGGGAGCUCGAAAACAGGUGCUGCACGGCUGUCGUCAGCUCGUGUCGUGAGAUGUUGGGUUAAGUCCCGCAACGAGCGCAACCCUCGUCCUUAGUUGCUAGCAGUUCGGCUGAGCACUCUAAGGAGACUGCCUUCGUAAGGAGGAGGAAGGUGAGGACGACGUCAAGUCAUCAUGGCCCUUAUGGCCAGGGCUACACACGUGCUACAAUGGGGCGUACAGAGUGUUGCGA